RNAcentral lists this ribosomal RNA (422 nucleotides) under uncultured bacterium. RNAcentral's name for it is "bacterial SSU rRNA". It matches the Rfam family "Bacterial small subunit ribosomal RNA", at positions 355 to 774 of the family's 1533-position model. The record is from RNAcentral.
UGAGGAAUAUUGGUCAAUGGGGGCAACCCUGAACCAGCCAAGUCGCGUGAAGGAUGAAGGUCUUAUGGAUUGUAAACUUCUUUUACACGGGAAUAAAGUGGGGGACGUGUCCCCCUUUGCAUGUACCGUGUGAAUAAGGAUCGGCUAACUCCGUGCCAGCAGCCGCGGUAAUACGGAGGAUCCGAGCGUUAUCCGGAUUUAUUGGGUUUAAAGGGUGCGCAGGCGGGAUGUUAAGUCGGCGGUGAAAUUUUGCAGCUCAACUGUAAAAGUGCCUUCGAUACUGGCCUCCUUGAGUGUGGAUGAAGUAGGCGGAAUUUGUGGUGUAGCGUUGAAAUGCUUAGAUAUCACGAGGAACUCCGAUUGCGCAGGCAGCUUACUAAGCCACAACUGACGCUCAUGCACGAAGGCGUGGGGAUCAAACA